GCCGGCCGUGGCGCGUGCCUGUAGUCCCAGCUACUUGGGAGGCUGAGGUGGGAGGAUCGCUUGAGCCCAGGAGUUCUGGGCUGUAGUGCGCUAUGCUGAUCGGUGUCUGCACUAAGUUCAGCAUCAAUAUGGUGACCUCCCGGGAGCGGGGGACCACCAGGUUGCCUAAGGAGGGGUGAACCGGCCCAGGUCGGAAACGGAGCAGGUCAAAACUCCCGUGCUGAUCAGUAGUGGGAUCGCGCCUGUGAAUAGCCACUGCACUCCAGCCUGGGCAACAUAGCAAAACUCCUUCCUA
This 295-nucleotide signal recognition particle RNA is filed under the name Aotus nancymaae (Ma's night monkey). RNAcentral's name for it is "Metazoan signal recognition particle RNA (ENSANAG00000014995.1)". It matches the Rfam family "Metazoan signal recognition particle RNA". Rfam says of the family: The signal recognition particle (SRP) is a universally conserved ribonucleoprotein. The record is from RNAcentral. Lineage: Eukaryota; Metazoa; Chordata; Mammalia; Primates; Aotidae.